GAUGAACGCUGGCUACAGGCUUAACACAUGCCAGUCGAGGGGAAACGACGGGGAAGCUUGCUUCCCCGGGCGUCGACCGGCGCACGGGUGAGUACGCGUAUCCAACCUGCCUCUGACUGAGGGAUAACCCGUCGAAAGUCGGCCUAAUACCUCAUGGCAUCGUCUGCGGGCAUCCAACGACGAUUAAAGAUUUCAUCGGUCAGAGAUGGGGAUGCGUCUGAUUAGCUUGUUGGCGGGGUAACGGCCCACCAAGGCGACGAUCAGUAGGGGUUCUGAGAGGAAGGUCCCCCACAUUGGAACUGAGACACGGUCCAAACUCCUACGGGAGGCAGCAGUGAGGAAUAUUGGUCAAUGGGCGAGAGCCUGAACCAGCCAAGUAGCGUGCAGGAUGACGGCCCUAUGGGUUGUAAACUGCUUUUAUGCGGGGAUAAAGUGAGGGACGUGUCCUUCAUUGCAGGUACCGCAUGAAUAAGGACCGGCUAAUUCCGUG
Molecule: ribosomal RNA, 490 nt
Filed under: uncultured bacterium
Lineage: Bacteria
Description: partial 16S ribosomal RNA
Rfam family: Bacterial small subunit ribosomal RNA
Source: RNAcentral